Molecule: ribosomal RNA, 439 nt
Filed under: uncultured bacterium
Lineage: Bacteria
Description: partial 16S ribosomal RNA
Rfam family: Bacterial small subunit ribosomal RNA
Source: RNAcentral
CUACGGGGGGCUGCAGUGAGGAAUAUUGCACAAUGGGGGGAACCCUGAUGCAGCAACGCCGCGUGGAGGAUGACGCAUUUCGGUGUGUAAACUCCUUUUAUAUGUCAAGAAAAUGACGGUAGCAUAUGAAUAGGCACCGGCUAACUCCGUGCCAGCAGCCGCGGUAAUACGGAGGGUGCAAGCGUUACUCGGAAUCACUGGGCGUAAAGGACGCGUAGGCGGGAUAUCAAGUCAGGUGUGAAAUCCUACAGCUUAACUGUAGAACUGCACUUGAAACUGGUAACCUAGAGUAUGGGAGGGGGAGAUGGAAUUAGUGGUGUAGAGGUAAAAUCCGUAGAUAUCACUAGGAAUACCUAAAGCGAAGGCGAUCUCCUGGAACAUAACUGACGCUAAGGCGUGAAAGCGUGGGGAGCAAACAGGAUUAGAUACCCUUGUAGUC